This is a non-coding RNA of Camellia sinensis, 1528 nucleotides long. The record is from RefSeq and is a predicted model, not a curated record. Lineage: Eukaryota; Viridiplantae; Streptophyta; Magnoliopsida; Ericales; Theaceae.
AAAGCUGUUUCUGGCGAAAACCCCAAAAAGGGGCAAUAGAGGCAAAAGUAGCAAAAAAAAAAAAAACAAAGAAAGGUGCUCAUUACCUUUCCGAAGUUAUAAGUUCACAAUUAAUAAUGUUAAGAUAAUCUGAUCCUUCGAAAAGUUAUAUUAGUCCAAGCAUAAUCACUAGGUCCUAAAAAAAUGAUCCCUGGGAGCUUACGAGUCUAAAGUGAUGGUUCGUCACUUGGAGGAGCACGGCGGAACAGGAAGCAUUCUGUCACUGUGACAACCAUGUCAUGCAUAUCAACUUUGCAUUUAUUUAAUUAUGUGAUUAUGAAUUUUGUUUGCAUAGUGUGUUCAAUUGAAUGUUACAUUGUUAGGAAUUAUAUUUGAAUAAAAAAUUGAGAGCUUAGAUGACUUAGAAAACGAUAAUUGAUUAGCUUAAUCAGUUUAGUUUAAUGUAUAGAAUCACAUAGGAAUUUAAUUAAAAAUUUGAUUCAUAUUAAUAAUAAUUAUAAAUAACCAAUUAGACAUAAUUAUGAUUGAUUAGCUUUAAGUUUGAUUAAUUAAGAUAAUGAGCUAUUAGUGUAUUAAGCUAAUCUAUUAAUAUAUAACUUAGAAGAAGAGAAGUUGAGUUCAUCCUUAUGUAAUUGCUGGAGAAAGUUUUAGAGGGGGAGAGAGAGCUCAACUUUAGAGAGAGAGAAGCUAGAAUUUGAAGAAUUGAAGGAGGUGGUUCAAGAUUUUGCAAGAAUACAUCAAAUUAAAGACUCUAGGUAAGAAUUACAAGUUUAAUUCUUGUAGAUAAUCUACCUAAGGCUUGAAUUCAUGGAGUAAUUAGAAUAAUUUGCAUGUAAUUUGAAUAUCUUAUAUUUCAUCAUUGUUGGUUUGAAUUUUGCCUUUCUAGCAUGCAUGCGAGUUUAACUUUGCAUUUUUCCAGAAUUGUCAUGGUUUAAUAUCAUAUAUUUCAUGUUUGAUGAACAAAGGAGAAAAGCUUUGAAAAAUUUUGCAUGCAUGAAGGUUUUGGUUUCAAUUUUGCUAAUUGAUGACGUUUCGAGUUAAUGGUUUCAAAAUUGAUCAUGAACUUGUGUUUUUCCAAGUGUUAUCAUGUUUUUGAGUAAACGUUGCAAGCCCUCUAAUAUUGAAUUUGUGUUUGGAAGCUCAAUUAUUCAGUUUUGGAAAACAGAAUUUGCACAGGCCGCUUGAGCGAUGAAGUAGUUGCUCGAGCGCACUUCGAGAUCAUCUAGUAUUUUUGUAGACUGCUCAAGCGAUCAGGUGAGCAUUUAGGAGAUCAAGCUUAGAGUUUGCCUUGGGAGUCCACCUUUUUGAGAAGCCAACACGUGGAGUGUCUCCGUGUCGAGGCGUUUGCUUGGAUUUGUGUUGAACCAAGCUUUUGUCAAAUUUUUUUUUGUUAAGUCUUAUGUUUGGACUUGUAUGUGUAUAAGAUGAAGUUUGCACUUAUUGUAAAUAUUAUUAAGUUAUGAUGAGCUCUAUGGAGGUUUUUGGUUUAUCAUUUAAGCAUAGCUUAAUGGACUUGUUUUGUUAAUGA